GACGAACGCUGGCGGCGUGCCUAAUACAUGCAAGUCGAACGAGAGCGACCGGUGCUUGCACUGGUCAAUCUAGUGGCGAACGGGUGAGUAACACGUGGGUAACCUGCUCAUCAGAGGGGGAUAACAUCCGGAAACGGAUGCUAAAACCGCAUAGGUCUUCGAGCCGCAUGGCUUGAAGAGGAAAAGAGGCGCAAGCUUCUGCUGAUGGAAGGACCCGCGGUGCAUUAGCUAGUUGGUGAGGUAACGGCUCACCAAGGCCGUGAUGCAUAGCCGACCUGAGAGGGUGAUCGGCCACAUUGGGACUGAGACACGGCCCAAACUCCUACGGGAGGCAGCAGUAGGGAAUCUUCCGCAAUGGACGCAAGUCUGACGGAGCAACGCCGCGUGAGUGAAGAAGGUUUUCGGAUCGUAAAACUCUGUUGUUAGAGAAGAACAAGUGCUAGAGUAACUGUUAGCGCCUUGACGGUAUCUAACCAGAAAGCCACGGCUAACUACGUG
RNAcentral lists this ribosomal RNA (498 nucleotides) under uncultured bacterium. RNAcentral describes it as "partial 16S ribosomal RNA". It matches the Rfam family "Bacterial small subunit ribosomal RNA", at positions 28 to 507 of the family's 1533-position model. The record is from RNAcentral.